UCUCCUACGGGGCGCAGCAGUGGGGAAUAUUGGACAAUGGGCGCAAGCCUGAUCCAGCCAUACCGCGUGGGUGAAGAAGGCCUUCGGGUUGUAAAGCCCUUUUGUUGGGAAAGAAAAGCAGUCGGCUAAUACCCGGUUGUUCUGACGGUACCCAAAGAAUAAGCACCGGCUAACUUCGUGCCAGCAGCCGCGGUAAUACGAAGGGUGCAAGCGUUACUCGGAAUUACUGGGCGUAAAGCGUGCGUAGGUGGUUGUUUAAGUCUGUUGUGAAAGCCCUGGGCUCAACCUGGGAAUUGCAGUGGAUA
This 305-nucleotide ribosomal RNA is filed under the name uncultured bacterium. RNAcentral describes it as "bacterial SSU rRNA". It matches the Rfam family "Bacterial small subunit ribosomal RNA", at positions 335 to 632 of the family's 1533-position model. The record is from RNAcentral.